ACUAUUCCAUGCCCAAUAGAUUUCCUGUAAGACCAUGAAAUUUUAACUGAUGCGUUGCAUCUCUUGUUCACUAUGUUUCUAGCACAAAAUUGUUACCGAAAAAUGUAUUUUGUGCAGCUGCAGAUUUUGGACAGAGCCACCAUUUGGUCUUCUUCUUCCACUCCGAUGCCUCCGUUCUGGCCUUCUUCUGCUCGGGCAUGGCUGAAUCAUCCGGGCAACAACGUCACCAGCCCUUUGUCACUCCGAGAAUAUACAUUGUGUUCACUUCUUUACACUAGCUCGAGGCGUACUAAAUAGAAUGUAAAUAUUGUAAUAUUGUAAUGGUAGGCAUAUCUGGGUUGGAUUAGACAUGUACAAAUUGUAGUAGGCUUAUUUACCAUUCUUGUUCUGUUUGAAAUAUUGAUUAUGUGAUUUGGAAACGUGUGAAUUGGAAUCUAGUUUAUGGGACCCAGUUAUGACACUAGUUUGAGCAGUUUUGAAAUUUCUAUCAUGUGGGCCCAAUAUGUGAGACUAUGACAAGUGGGACCUAUCUUAUUGGUGGGACCAGAUAUAAUGGCCCAAACAAUGUUAAAAGCCCACAACCCCAAAAAAAAGCCUGAAAAGUUGGGCCAGGCCCAUGUAGCUAACCAAAAUCAAUAGAAGAAAUAUAUAUUAAAAAGGUUGAAUUAAUGGGCUCGGCCCAUCUAAAACCUCGAACUGGACCGGGCUGAUUCUAAUCUAUGACCAAUUCAUUUGGUCAAAAUUUUGCCACAUCAGCUUGCCACGUUGGAUCCGAUGUGGCUUGGGCAGACAACGAACGACCAAAAUAAUUUCAAUGCUUUUGUUUCGUCAUAAAAUCCUAUGACGAUUUUAAUAGAAAGGUCGUUAUAGUUCAUUAGAGACCCUCACUUUUGACCUUCUCUUUUUGGUCAUAAAAAGGUCGCAAAUGGAAACCAACGACCAUUCCGUGACAAAUAUUGAAGGUCGUAUGUUGGCAUAUUUC
Molecule: long non-coding RNA, 982 nt
Organism: Hordeum vulgare subsp. vulgare (domesticated barley)
Lineage: Eukaryota; Viridiplantae; Streptophyta; Magnoliopsida; Poales; Poaceae
Exons: 3
Source: RefSeq, a predicted model, not a curated record